GAUCGGUUCACUGGAGUGCAUUCCGGAUCUUCACUAGCUGAAGAGGAUCGCACUACAUUACUUGGAGGCGACAAAUUGAGGUAAGCAUCGGAUCAAAGUAUGGUGGAGGUCCCUAUUGUCGAUCACCACCCUCUCCAAUUCUUGAAGUGUGGAGGCCACGGGUGAAGAUGGAGGGUUUGUUGAGGUGUGUAUGCGCCCUUGUAGCAUGGACAGGGAAUCAUGGUGGUGAGCUGCUGUAUUGCUACUAAAAAUCUCACGGUAGGUGACU
This is a long non-coding RNA of Zingiber officinale, 268 nucleotides long. RefSeq lists it as uncharacterized. The record is from RefSeq and is a predicted model, not a curated record. NCBI's taxonomy places the organism in Eukaryota, Viridiplantae, Streptophyta, Magnoliopsida, Zingiberales, Zingiberaceae. The transcript has 3 exons.